RNAcentral lists this transfer RNA (65 nucleotides) under Cynodonichthys tenuis. RNAcentral's name for it is "tRNA-Cys". The record is from RNAcentral. Lineage: Eukaryota; Metazoa; Chordata; Actinopteri; Cyprinodontiformes; Rivulidae.
AGCCUUGAAGUAGUUUACGCUAGAUUGCAAAUCUAGAGAAGCAGGUUAGUUGCCGGCCGGGGCUU